Molecule: ribosomal RNA, 750 nt
Filed under: uncultured bacterium
Lineage: Bacteria
Description: bacterial SSU rRNA
Rfam family: Bacterial small subunit ribosomal RNA
Source: RNAcentral
GUCGAACGGUAGAGGGGGCAACCCCUCGAGAGUGGCGAACGGGUGAGUAAUAUAUCGGAACGUGCCCAGUCGUGGGGGAUAACGUAGCGAAAGUUACGCUAAUACCGCAUACGAUCUACGGAUGAAAGCGGGGGAUCGCAAGACCUCGCGCGAUUGGAGCGGCCGAUAUCAGAUUAGGUAGUUGGUGGGGUAAAGGCUCACCAAGCCAACGAUCUGUAGCUGGUCUGAGAGGACGACCAGCCACACUGGAACUGAGACACGGUCCAGACUCCUACGGGAGGCAGCAGUGGGGAAUUUUGGACAAUGGACGCAAGUCUGAUCCAGCCAUUCCGCGUGCAGGAUGAAGGCCCUCGGGUUGUAAACUGCUUUUGUACGGAACGAAAAGGUUUCUAUUAAUACUAGGAGCUCAUGACGGUACCGUAAGAAUAAGCACCGGCUAACUACGUGCCAGCAGCCGCGGUAAUACGUAGGGUGCAAGCGUUAAUCGGAAUUACUGGGCGUAAAGCGUGCGCAGGCGGUUAUGUAAGACAGAGGUGAAAUCCCCGGGCUCAACCUGGGAACUGCCUUUGUGACUGCAUAGCUAGAGUACGGUAGAGGGGGAUGGAAUUCCGCGUGUAGCAGUGAAAUGCGUAGAUAUGCGGAGGAACACCGAUGGCGAAGGCAAUCCCCUGGACCUGUACUGACGCUCAUGCACGAAAGCGUGGGGAGCAAACAGGAUUAGAUACCCUGGUAGUCCACGCCCUAAACGAU